RNAcentral lists this unclassified non-coding RNA (377 nucleotides) under uncultured bacterium. RNAcentral's name for it is "contains 16S-23S intergenic spacer region". The record is from RNAcentral.
UCCGAUUUGUCACCGGCAGUCUCCCUAGAGUCCCCGACAUAACCCGCAGGCAACAUGGAACGAGGGUUGCGCUCGUUGCGGGACUUAACCCAACAUCUCACGACACGAGCUGACGACAGCCAUGCACCACCUGCAUACCAACCACAAGGGAACGCCUAUCUCUAGACGCGUCUGGCGCAUGUCAAACCCAGGUAAGGUUCUUCGCGUUGCAUCGAAUUAAUCCACAUGCUCCACCGCUUGUGCGGGCCCCCGUCAAUUCCUUUGAGUUUCAGCCUUGCGGCCGUACUCCCCAGGCGGGGCACUUAACGCGUUAGCUGCGGCACCGAAGGGGUCGCUCCCCCCGGCACCUAGUGCCCAUCGUUUACAGCGUGGACUAC